This 309-nucleotide ribosomal RNA is filed under the name uncultured bacterium. Its description in RNAcentral is "bacterial SSU rRNA". It matches the Rfam family "Bacterial small subunit ribosomal RNA", at positions 28 to 334 of the family's 1533-position model. The record is from RNAcentral.
GACGAACGCUGGCGGCGUGCCUAAUACAUGCAAGUAGAACGCUGACUACUUUAGCUUGCUAGAGUAGAAGGAGUUGCGAACGGGUGAGUAACGCGUAGGUAACCUGCCUACUAGCGGGGGAUAACUAUUGGAAACGAUAGCUAAUACCGCAUAACGUCGCAAGACCAAAGAGGGGGACCUUCGGGCCUCUUGCCAUCGGAUGUGCCCAGAUGGGAUUAGCUAGUAGGUGGGGUAGCGGCUCACCUAGGCGACGAUCCCUAGCUGGUCUGAGAGGAUGACCAGCCACACUGGAACUGAGACACGGUCCAG